RNAcentral lists this small RNA (2504 nucleotides) under Pan troglodytes (chimpanzee). Its description in RNAcentral is "processed transcript". Lineage: Eukaryota; Metazoa; Chordata; Mammalia; Primates; Hominidae. The record is from RNAcentral.
GCUUUCUAAAAAACAGAAGAAAAAGAAACAGAAACCAGCACAGAAUUAUGAUGACAAUUUCAAUGUAAAUGGAACUGGAGAAGGAGUAAAGGUUGAUCCAGAAGAUACUAACUUAAAUCAAGACAGUGCCAAAGAAUUGGAAGAUAGUCCCCAGGAAAAUGUCAGUGUCACAGAGAUCAUUAAACCAUGUGAUGAUCCAAAAAGUGAAGCUAAAAGGUAAUUUAGAUGUAUCUGUACAUAUUUAUGUAUAGAUACACACACACAUAUGUAUACAGAUGAAGAGCGUUGAGAAGAGGAUGCUAGAGGAAUGUGCCCACACACAUCUCAGUAGCAUGGCCAAAAUCAGAAAGAUGUCACUUUGAUCCAGUUCUUGUUUACCUUAUCCUGCUGUGGCGCUGAUUUUGUCGUGGAUCAUUAACACUUGACACUCACAUGAGACAAGACUCCUGCUGCGUCCCUGGAGUGUCACUAAGCAAAUCUCCAUGCUCACGACAGCAGCCUGUGUUGGGCCCCACCAUGUUGUGAGGACACAUGGCAGCAGCUGGGGCCCUUCCUGCUCAGAGGAGCCCUGGACUCUUGGUGCUGCACAAGGCCAUGGUGUGGACUAGGAGGAGGUCUCACCCAAGGGAGGUAGCCAGUCCUGUUCUCUCCUUCCUCCUCUUGUCUGACUUUCUUUUCCCCAUCCUCCUCGGUUCCUCUAGAACAGAGAAUCAUUUCUUGUUUCUUGAGGAAAGAUCUGAUAGUGAGGAGCUUCAAGUUUCUGUCAUUACAGAACCCUGAAAAGAAUUAAAGUGACAGAGCAAAGUGGGAGCAUGACGUGAAAAUGCUAACACUGGAGCAACCGUGAUGGGGAGGGGAGUGUGUGUACUUAGGAGUUUAAGGCACUUAGUAGUAGGAAGGAGGAAACAGAUGUGGCUGAGACCUACAGUAUGACUCUGGCUAUAGAAAAAGGUAUAUAAAGAACUACACAAACUGGUAAUGUUGAAGCUUUGAAGAACUUUGGAGAGUUGAAGCCUAGAAGGGGAAAUUCACAUGUAUUUCACUCUGACACCAGGUGUUUGUUCCCUUUCUACAAAUGGGGAAACUGAAUUUCAGGUUAAUUGUCCAAGGACAAACGCUAUUGAGUAGAGGCUGACACUUCAUUCCAUCUGCCUGACAGCUUGAAGGCACCCAGAUCAUCUGACUCCAUGGAGCCUGUGUGUCCUGUGGGAUGGGCACAAAGAGUGGGCCAGGAGGUGGGGCUCUGGGCCCCUGAACCCCUUUUUCAUCUAAAACUAAAAUGUUUUCCAUGUUACUUCUUUUUUUUUUUUUUUUUGGAGAUGGAGUCUCGCUCUGUUGCCCAGGCUGGAGUACAGUGGCGCAACCUCGGCUCACUGCAACCUCCGCCUCCCGGGUUCAAGCAAUUCUCCUGCCUCAGCCUCUCGAGUUGCUGGGACUGCAGGCAUGCACUGCCACGCCUGGCUAUUUUUUUGUAUUUUAGUAGAGAUGGUUUCACCAUGUUGCACAGGGUGGUCUUGAACUCCUGACCUCAUGAUCUGCCCGCCUUGGCCUACCAAAGUGCUGGGAUUACAGGUGUGAGCUACCGUGUCUGGCCUCCAUGUUACUUCUACAUGAGAAUUGAUCUGGGGAGGAAGAAGGGUUCUCAGGCUUGGGCAACCACUGAUAUAGUUCAGCUUUCUAAUUUCACUGAUGUGAGGAAAGGAUUCAGAGAAUUCAAGUGACUUCUUCACAGCUGCAGAAUGGCAGGGCUAAGAUAGAUACAUUAUACCCAGCACCCUCCCCACACCACUCUGCUGUCCCCUGGAUCCAGGGCCUUUAUGCUGGCAGCUCCUCUGUUGCUUCUCUGGAGUGGUGUGGACACUGGGCACCUACUGAGAAGUGUUUUUUAAAAAAAUGUGUGUGUGUGUGUGUAUAGUAUUUUUAAAAAAUAAAGGUCUUAGAUAUCAGCUUCAGAGAUGUAACUGUCAUUCAUAAUAUAAGUGAUGUUUGCCAGGAAUAUUAUCCUAAAUUUGUUAGACAUAUUUCUGACAUAUCUGUGAUGAUAGUUUGAAAAUUAGUAUGUAUUAUUUGUUGCCUUUUAUGCCAUUGUGUCCUUUUCUUGAUGUUUUCAAAGCUGGCUGAAUCCUACACAAUAUGUUACACUCCUAAUCUGCGUUUUUUAAAUGCAUAGGCCAUUUAACUUAGCACAGACUAUUGGCCUCUGCUUGAAGAAUAGUAUACCUAUAAACUGGAAGCAUUAUCAUCACUUACUCAUUAUAACCCAUCCUGUCUGUUCUGUACAGUAUAGUUGGACCCAGAUUUUUACCCUAUGAAUUUGGUUAGCACAAAUGAGGGAAAGUAUGAAAUGCCAAGGAAAAUUGAAAUUCAUGUAGGAGAUGAGUAGAGGAAUGUUCAGGAGUUCAAGCAGAACAAGAGGAACCCAACUAUACCAUUUCUGAUCUAAAUGAUGUGGUGGGGAAAAACCAUCAGAUCAACAGAAAGGACAUAAUUUUUAAAUAAAAGUA